AGCUGCAGUCGAGAAUCUUUCGCAUGGGCGCAGCCUGACGAAGCGACGCCGYGUGAGCGAUGAAGGCCUUCGGGUUGUAAAGCUCUUUCGCUCGGGAACAAGAAAGGUAGGGAGAAUAGCCUGCUGACUUGAUGGUACUGGGUAAAGAAGCACCGGCUAACUCC
This 164-nucleotide ribosomal RNA is filed under the name uncultured Chlamydiales bacterium. RNAcentral describes it as "partial 16S ribosomal RNA". It matches the Rfam family "Bacterial small subunit ribosomal RNA", at positions 347 to 504 of the family's 1533-position model. Lineage: Bacteria; Pseudomonadati; Chlamydiota; Chlamydiia; Chlamydiales. The record is from RNAcentral.